Panicum hallii is the source of this 1357-nucleotide long non-coding RNA. RefSeq lists it as uncharacterized. The record is from RefSeq and is a predicted model, not a curated record. Lineage: Eukaryota; Viridiplantae; Streptophyta; Magnoliopsida; Poales; Poaceae. The transcript has 5 exons.
GCAAAUAUAUCAGUUGGUAUAGAAAACUAAAUAUUCCGUUAACUCAUCCGUCGAGAUAUCCAAAUAUUUUUAUGGAAUUGUCCAUCGACACAUAUGGAUCGGCCUUUUUUUCCUUCUCCCGCGCUCAGCCAGACCAAUCUCACGCGGAAACUUUGCCUAGGAGGCCCACCGGUCAGCCAGUUACCCCCAAACAUUGGUGAGGAGACAUAACCCUAGCCCCCUUCACCAAUUUCCCGGCCGCCACUCCCUCCCUCUCGAUCUCCCCCAAAUCCCGUCGCCGCGCGCUUUCACCUCCCAAAAUCACCGCCGCCGCCUGCUUGCUCCUCCAAAAGCGCCCGCGCCUGAGGCCCCGAGGCCCUCCCCAAACCUCACGCCUGCUUCCCACUCCCACUCCUUCCCUCUACUGCUAGCAAUCUCCUCGACGUUGCUGCUUUACUGGUGCGUCCGCUGCCGGAAUCUCAUCCACCCUGCUGACGUAGGAACCUUCUCCACCCCGCCGCCGCAGAUUCCCACAUGGCCUCAACCUCCUCCAUGACCUCGCCGGCCACUUUACUGCCACAAGGAGCCAUCCUUCCACCCGCAUCUUCGUUCAAGCUUGUCCAGCAGCUUGGCCAUCCUCUCUCCCGUCCUCUGCUGCUACUAGUGUGCGUGGAACAGGGAUCCAUCUGGGCUUGGAUUCCUCCUCCAAUUGGUGCUGCCAACGAGUUGGCCAUGGCUGGGCCACUCAGGUUGUCCAGGACACCCCGUCCGGGAUGGAGGUUAUUGCCCUGAGCAGAUCAGCUGCUGCACCAAAACCUUACUCCAGCCACAUCCUUGCUGCUUUGUUCACUGAUUUGGUUACAGAGACCUUGCUGGCUCACUAAAGGUUCGUAUGCAGGAUAAGGAGCAAGACUGUAGCUGCAAGCAAUCGACAUUUUCUCGACAUCUACAAUAUUCGCAGCAGCUUACCUCCUAUCGAGAAGUAUUUGGGUGAAGGAGCUUGUGUUACGGUCGGAGGUCCAAGAUGUAGUGUGAUGCCUGUUGUGUCAACAACAAAUGUAUCACUGCUCAAUCAUGGAUGUUUUUUGUUUUGGACUUUACCAGAAAUGAUAGAUUUUGUUAACUGAAUUGUGACAUGCAGCCAAAACUUAUGACCUGUGGUGAGAAGCCAAAUUUAUGGCUGUGUAGACACCUAUUUAGUACCUUGGAUGGCUACCACUUCUUUUGUAAAUGUUGUUGGAUUUCUGCUUGAACUGUGAGCUCAGACAAGAUGACUGUUGUAAGUUGCAACUGCUUCAGCUCAAUGACAAGAUGACUGUUGUUGGCUUUUCUGAAAAUUAUGAGCUAUAUGUAUAUGUUCUAGUUCUGUGUUCAUGUA